GAAGGAUCAUUACCUAGAGUUGUAGGCUUUGCCUGCUAUCUCUUACCUAUGUCUUUUGAGUACCUUACGUUUCCUCAGCGGGUCUGCCCGCUGAUUGGACAAUUUAAACCAUUUGUAGUUGCAAUUAGCGUCUGAAAAAACUUAAUAGUUACAACUUUCAACAACGGAUCUCUUGGUUCUGGCAUCGAUGAAGAACGCAGCGAAAUGCGAUAAGUAGUGUGAAUUGCAGAAUUCAGUGAAUCAUCGAAUCUUUGAACGCACAUUGCGCCCCUUGGUAUUCCAUGGGGCAUGCCUGUUCGAGCGUCAUUUGUACCUUCAAGCUCUGCUUGGUGUUGGGUGUUUGUCUCGCCUCUGCGUGUAGACUCGCCUCAAAACAAUUGGCAGCCGGCGUAUUGAUUUCGGAGCGCAGUACAUCUCGCGCUUUGCACUCAUAACGACGACGUCCAAAAGUACAUUUUUACACUCUUGACCUCGGAUCAGGUAGGGAUACCCGCUGAACUUAA
Molecule: ribosomal RNA, 503 nt
Filed under: Leptosphaerulina sp. HL77
Lineage: Eukaryota; Fungi; Ascomycota; Dothideomycetes; Pleosporales; Didymellaceae
Description: eukaryotic LSU rRNA
Rfam family: 5.8S ribosomal RNA (bases 153-306)
Source: RNAcentral